AUGCUCGCUCUUUCGGGGGCUGAUUCCAUCAGUGACAGCGAGGGGGACAUCCAGCAAGUCCAUGCCAUCUCGCGGCCAACUCUGGAUGGUGGCGUCUCACCCAAAGCUUUCCAUCUACUAGCCACCAUGCAGAAUAGAGAGGUGUUGAUCUUGGUGGACAGUGGCAGCUCGACUUCUUUCAUCAACAAGAAACUAGCUGACCAUCUUACAGGUGCAGUUCCUCUGCUUCGGCCCUCACGGGUUAAGGUAGCUGACGGGGGCGAACUUCUCUGUACAGAGUCCAUACCAUGCUGUCAGUGGUCGUCGCAAGGGAUUGAUUUUGUCACUAAUAUGAAGAUCCUGCCGCUGGGUGUAUACGAUGCUAUCCUUGGCAUGGAUUGGUUGGAGCAGCACAGUCCGAUGACUGGAAGCACAAACAUCUCCAGAUUCCUACACCAAUAG
Molecule: ribosomal RNA, 441 nt
Filed under: Triticum aestivum (bread wheat)
Lineage: Eukaryota; Viridiplantae; Streptophyta; Magnoliopsida; Poales; Poaceae
Description: partial small subunit ribosomal RNA
Source: RNAcentral